AGAGUUUGAUCAUGGCUCAGAUUGAACGCUGGCGGCAUGCUUUACACAUGCAAGUCGAACGGUAACAGGGAGCUUGCUCCGCUGACGAGUGGCGAACGGGUGAGUAAUGCAUCGGAACGUACCCAGUCGUGGGGGAUAACGUAGCGAAAGUUACGCUAAUACCGCAUACGUCCUGAGGGAGAAAGCGGGGGACCGUAAGGCCUCGCGCGAUUGGAGCGGCCGAUGUCGGAUUAGCUAGUUGGUAGGGUAAAGGCCUACCAAGGCGACGAUCCGUAGCGGGUCUGAGAGGAUGAUCCGCCACACUGGGACUGAGACACGGCCCAGACUCCUACGGGAGGCAGCAGUGGGGAAUUUUGGACAAUGGGCGAAAGCCUGAUCCAGCCAUGCCGCGUGAGUGAAGAAGGCCUUCGGGUUGUAAAGCUCUUUCAGCCGGAAAGAAAUCGCGCAGGAUAAUACUCUGCGUGGAUGACGGUACCGGAAGAAGAAGCACCGGCUAACUACGUG
This 504-nucleotide ribosomal RNA is filed under the name uncultured bacterium. RNAcentral describes it as "bacterial SSU rRNA". It matches the Rfam family "Bacterial small subunit ribosomal RNA", at positions 8 to 507 of the family's 1533-position model. The record is from RNAcentral.